Molecule: transfer RNA, 65 nt
Filed under: Pristolycus sp. FM14
Lineage: Eukaryota; Metazoa; Arthropoda; Insecta; Coleoptera; Lampyridae
Description: tRNA-Asn
Source: RNAcentral
UUAAAUGAAACCAAAUUAGAGGUUUAUCACUGUUAAUGAUAUAAUUGAGUGAAACUCCAUUUAAA